GCACGUCUGCCUGGGUGUCACA
This 22-nucleotide non-coding RNA is filed under the name Arabidopsis thaliana (thale cress). Lineage: Eukaryota; Viridiplantae; Streptophyta; Magnoliopsida; Brassicales; Brassicaceae. The record is from RNAcentral.